GCCGGAGUGGUGGAAUGGUAUACACGAGUGACUUAAACUCACUUGCCUUCAGUGGCUUACGGGUUCGAGUCCCGUCUCUGGUA
Molecule: transfer RNA, 83 nt
Filed under: Janthinobacterium lividum
Lineage: Bacteria; Pseudomonadati; Pseudomonadota; Betaproteobacteria; Burkholderiales; Oxalobacteraceae
Also listed under: 5 other names
Description: tRNA-Leu
Rfam family: tRNA
About the family: Transfer RNA (tRNA) molecules are approximately 80 nucleotides in length. Their secondary structure includes four short double-helical elements and three loops (D, anti-codon, and T loops).
Source: RNAcentral